GCCUGAUGGAUAACUGAAGAAGCUUAUCGCUGGAGAAGCCCGGGAGAUGCGACAGGAGUUCGUCCGUCAGGGAAACCCGGUCGACACUUGUGGAAGAAGCUGUGGGAGUUUAUCCGUCGGCAGAACUUGAGAAUAUUGCGGAAGCUCGGCCGCCGGAGAGGUUCGGAAAAAUGUCGCCCAAGGUUGGACGUCGGCAGAGUCCCGGGAGGGUCACUCCCGAUAUGAACUUCGGCUG
RNAcentral lists this long non-coding RNA (235 nucleotides) under Elaeis guineensis (African oil palm). RNAcentral describes it as "long non-coding RNA (EGUI_LNC063220)". Lineage: Eukaryota; Viridiplantae; Streptophyta; Magnoliopsida; Arecales; Arecaceae. The record is from RNAcentral.